This 363-nucleotide ribosomal RNA is filed under the name Phoberus quadricostatus. RNAcentral describes it as "partial 16S ribosomal RNA". The record is from RNAcentral. Lineage: Eukaryota; Metazoa; Arthropoda; Insecta; Coleoptera; Trogidae.
UAAUAUAAAGUCUAACCUGCCCAAUGAUUAAUUUUGAAUGGCCGCGGUAUUUUGACCGUGCUAAGGUAGCAUAAUAAUUAGUUUUUUAAUUGAAAACUGGUAUGAAUGGUUGGACAAAGAAAUAGCUGUCUCAAAUUUAAUUUAAUUAGAAUUUUAUUUUUAAGUUAAAAAGCUUAAAUAUAUUUAAAAGACGAGAAGACCCUAUAGAGUUUUAUAUUUAUUAAUUAAAUUAAAUUUUAAGAAUUAUAUAUUUUAUUUAAUUUAUAGUAUUUUGUUGGGGUGACAAAAAAAUUUAAUUAACUUUUUUUAUAUUUUUACAUAAAUUUAUGAGUUAGUGAUCCAUUAUUAAUGAUUAAAAGAUUA